AUGUCUUACCAUGCCAUAUUCAUGAAAAAACUAGUGAUGAUGUGUAACGCCCCGAGACCGACGCUCCAGAAGCCUUCCAUGUUUUUCGUUGUUAUCGUGUGUUUUAUUUGUGUGUUGCAUUCAUCAUCGCAUCAUUUGCAUUCCAUCGGCACUUCGUUGCCAUCAUGUUUUAAAACUUGCAUUCACUCGUCGUUGACGUUUCUCCCUUUUGCCUUCAUCACCUUCCCUCGGAUCGCCUUGCCUGUGUUGACCGUUCCAGACCAAUCGGGUUUUCACUUCCCUCUUGACCAUGACCGCCUAACCCCUCUUUGCGCAGAGCAUCGACCCCUUGCCCGUGUCCGAAACUUCCCCGAACCCGAACCGGACUAUCGUUAUCAUUGGGUCCGAAUUAUCCCCCAACAUCCCUAA
This 408-nucleotide ribosomal RNA is filed under the name Triticum aestivum (bread wheat). RNAcentral's name for it is "partial small subunit ribosomal RNA". The record is from RNAcentral. Lineage: Eukaryota; Viridiplantae; Streptophyta; Magnoliopsida; Poales; Poaceae.